This 301-nucleotide ribosomal RNA is filed under the name uncultured bacterium. RNAcentral's name for it is "partial 16S ribosomal RNA". It matches the Rfam family "Bacterial small subunit ribosomal RNA", at positions 509 to 807 of the family's 1533-position model. The record is from RNAcentral.
CAGCCGCCGCGGUAAUACAGAGGGUGCGAGCGUUAAUCGGAUUUACUGGGCGUAAAGCGUGCGCAGGCGGUUAUAUAAGACAGAUGUGAAAUCCCCGGGCUCAACCUGGGAACUGCAUUUGUGACUGUAUAGCUAGAGUACGGCAGAGGGGGAUGGAAUUCCGCGUGUAGCAGUGAAAUGCGUAGAUAUGCGGAGGAACACCGAUGGCGAAGGCAAUCCCCUGGGCCUGUACUGACGCUCAUGCACGAAAGCGUGGGGAGCAAACAGGAUUAGAUACCCCUGUAGUCCCUGUCUCUUAUAC